AUGGCGAUAAUUGAUGAUAAUUACUCACAACCAAGGACCAAAAAGGCUGCAUUGCUACGAAAACCUUCUUCAUCUGUCUACAAAGAAGUUAGUGAAACAUUUAAUGCCGGACCAUCUGAUUUGGGUUACCUCACAUUCAUAAGGAACUUUGUUCAGGUAUUAUCAUCUCCUCUAGUUGGUAUACUUGUUAUCAACUACGACCACCCGACAAUUCUUGCUAUGGGCACUUUCUGCUGGGCUUUAUCUACAGCUGCUGUGGGCGUUUGCCACGAUUUUCUGCAGGUUGCAUUCUGGAGAGCAAUAAAUGGGUUUGGUUUGGCAAUUGUGAUUCCAGCACUCCAGUCUUUCAUCGCUGAUAGCUACAAGGAUGGAGUGAGAGGAACUGGGUUUGGAUUGCUGAGUCUCAUUGGUAACUUGGGAGGCAUAGGAGGUGGUGUUUUGGCUACUGUCAUGGCUGGCCAACAGUUUUGGGGCAUACAAGGAUGGCGAUGCCCCUUCAUUUUGAUGGCAACUUUGAGCGCAUUAAUUGGAUUCCUUGUUUUACUAUACGUUGUUGACUCAAGAAAAAGAUUUCCCACCACUCCUGAUGCUAGUGAGAGUUCAGACAGGGGUGACUCUAUCUAUAAAGGCAAUGCUAGUGCAACAUCAGUUUGGAUGGACUCUUGGGCAGCCACGAAAGCUGUGAUCAAAGUGAAAACAUUUCAAAUAAUUGGCUUACAAGUCAUUAUUGGGUCUCUGCCGUGGACUGCCAUGGUGUUCUUCACAAUGUGGUUCGAACUGAUUGGUUUUGAUAACAAUACUUCAGCAACCCUCUUGAGUCUCUUUGCUAUUGGAUGUGCAAUGGGGUCCUUCAGUGUUGGAUCAAUAGCUGAUAAACUAUCGCAAGUCUACCCUCAUUCUGCUCGUACCAUGUGCGCACAAUUCAGUGCCUUUAUGGGCAUUCCAUUUUCAUGGUUUCUUCUUAGGUGAUCCCUCCGCCAGUAAGUAGUUUUCCUACCUUUUCUGUCACCCUCUUUGUAAUGGGUCUAACUACAAGCUGGAACGGUGCGGCUGCAAAUGCUCCUAUGUUUGCUGAGGUUGUCCCCGUAAAACACCGUACCAUGAUUUAUGCAUUUGAUCGAGCUUUUGAAGGCUCGUUUUCUUCGAUUGUGGCUCCUCUGGUCGGGAUUCUUUCUGAGAAGGUGCUUGACUAUAAUUCAAAGUCUGUUGAUCCCAUCAAAGGAUCUUCACCAGAGGCUCUUGCCUUGUCGAAGGGCCUUCUGUCCAUGAUGGCUGUUCCAUUUGGUUUGUGUUGUUUAUGCUAUGCCCCUCUAUAUUACAUAUUUAGGCGGGACCGUGAAAAUGCUAGAAUGCUUGCCCUGAAAGAGGAGGAGAUGAUGUGAGAGACACAUGUAAAAGGAGCCCUCUAGCUCUACUCUGUUUGUGAAUUGGGUAAUUGGAGUUUAAAGCUCCGAAAACACGUGAUAUCAUCUUCCCCAGUACACACUAAACUUUUGAAACCAACUUCGAACAAUGACCUCAUUUGGUUUUUUAUUUGAAGAAUCCAGGUUAACCAUGCAAUCAUGGUUCCGUCAUGGCUAGGCUGCUUAUUACCCGAGGAUUGAACUCAUUCUGACUUCUGAGCCAUUUCUUGAGAUGGCAUAUCUAACUGAAUGGGUCGGAAAUAUCAGGAUAUUUAGGAUAACGAAGCUCAGGCUCAUACUGUUCUGUGGCGAGAUCAUUUUGUUUUCAUACGAUUAUUGUACACUAUAAAAUACACAGGUAAAUUUGCAUGUUUGGUUCAAAACCUCAACUACACGGAACAACAGUGCUAAUCAAGUAUUUCUGAAUAACUUCAAUUUUUCGGCCGAUGAUUAAGGUCAAUUAAUCCCUACUAAAAAGCACACAACCCCUGUAUUCAACCUUACCCUAACUGCAUUCGGACAAAAAAAUUUAAAAUCCAAAAUUUGAAGAAUAUUAAACACUUUCAACUUUAUUCGUGCGUAGACUGUAAACAUAAUACGCUAGCAUUGACAGCUGAAGUGGCUUUUAUACGCCUGUGUCUCUAGAAACAAGUUCCCAAUAACGGACCUAGCUAAUUUGUUUUUGUUUCUAGGCUUCUCAGAGGUUAGAGUGAGAGGGAGAGGAGCCGGAAAUGAUCAUAAAGUGCAUGGAAGCAUUGGACCCACCCAAAAAUAAUGCAAGGGAAUCAAAACACCAACAUUGACAGCUGAACUCAUUUUUCUGCUUGGUCCACUUUAGAAUUAAACGUUAACAUUCAAUUAAAGCACAGGUUACAAGAACAUUCCACUUGUUUGGCUUUUAGACGCGCUUGGUGGUCUUAGGAACUUGGCCUGUCGCUCCACCAA
Molecule: RNA transcript, 2348 nt
Organism: Glycine soja
Lineage: Eukaryota; Viridiplantae; Streptophyta; Magnoliopsida; Fabales; Fabaceae
Exons: 4
Source: RefSeq, a predicted model, not a curated record